GUUGAUAGAGGAAUUUGGUAAUCAACAAAGAUGAGGUUCAUAGCCGGAAUCAAGAUCUGUGACGGUGGUUUUAGCUGCCGGAGUGUGGUGGUUGUGUGUUUUAGGGGGUGGCUGAGAUUAGGGUUUUGAGUUGGUCUCACGUGCUCUCAACUCAUGAUCCCCAAAUGUGCCUACGUACCCCUAUAUUUAUAGGGGAUCAAGCCAUACGUAGUUCUAUGGAACCAGGAGUCCUAGUUUGAUCAGGACUAGGCCUCUUGGCGAUAAGGUCGGAGAUAGGCCGAAGGCCCAUCUUGGAGAAUCCUACUCCUGUUAGAAUUAGUCUUGAGUAUGACUACCUCAGACUCCUAAUCCAAAUAGAUCACGGAUUCAACGAUAUCUCCACUACGAGAGAUAGCAUCUACCACGACUCUUAUGGAGAAGUUAUCUGGGGGAGCCAUGACUAACCCCUCGAGGUGCAGGGACACGUCCUCACCUCUCGGUGAGGUCUUCAUCUUCAAACAAGGUAGACAAGGAGCCAAAUUACACGAUCGUCUCAAUCCCCCGAUGAGGGCUAACUCACCAGAAUACAGGAUCCAGACAUAUGAUCGGCCUUCGUGUUACCCCGGAGGGCCUUCAAGAGCCAUGAUCACCUCAAGCCCCCACACGAGGGUUAACUCGGCAGAUAGCAGGAUUGAGGAUUGUAGAUCAUGCCCGGAUGAGCCCGGGAACUAUCAGAUGAGCCUGAUAACUACCAAAUGAGCUUGGUAACUACCAAAUGAGCUUGGUAACUAGUCUUCAUAUCCCUCGGAAGGGUCGUCACGGAGACUCACUCAUCCUCUCUCUCUCAUCAUGUAUUUCAUAACUAUGCCUCUUCUGAGUCAAAGGACGCGCCCUGAUAGGGAGGACGUGUCCUUCCCAAUUCCCGUCUUCAUCCCUGUUUACUGGACAAGAGACCGCACUCCCCGGGUUAUGUCCGGAGGAGGGCGCGUCCUCCCCUCUACAUGGUGUACAAAAACGGCUACAACACCUCGGAAGAGUCGUCGUAUCCCCCGGAGGGGUCGUCAUAUCCCCCGGAGGGGUAGGUCUUCUUAUCCCCGGAGGGACGGUCUUCGUCUCCCUCGGAAGGGUUGUCUCAGCGAAUGUACACUCUCCCAUAAGAAGAGCCUUCUUACAAUAUGUGUUUACAUGUGGGAGCGACCCCUGAGGGCGCGCCCUUGCCUUCGCCGUCUUGUCCCAUCGACCACUCCAACAACACAUCAGACAUGUCCUUCUUUAACAUGAGGCCGCGCCCCUCAGUCACCUCCGAAGAGGGCGCGCCCUCCUCCAACACCAUGACCAAUUUUGGUCAUAACAGGGUGGACGGAGGGUCGGUCGCGUCCUUCCAUCAACGUCCUCAAGAGCCGCGUCUCUCCUUCCAUCAACAUCCUCAAGAGUCGCGUCUCUCCUUGUGACUCGGAGAACGCGUCCUCUUUACGCAACAUCGGCGGAUUAGUCACGCCACGGAGGGCUGCGCCCUUCCGUUCAGACUAGUCUCUUCAAGGGUCGGUCGCGUCCUCACUUUAUAAGCAGGAGGACGCGUCCUGAUACCCCAUAUAGGACUCUUAGCCCAAUUCAUGUCUUACUUAGUUAAACUAAGUACAUACCCGGCCCAACAAGGACCUAGCCAAAUUUGGCUAUAACAAGUACUCCCCAAAUUCUUUUGACAUUGGAGAUGUCAAUGGAAUUUUCAUAAUACAAAAUUUUGUCCCUUUUCCUGUAACGGCGGAGGAGAGAACAUGCUCUUAAAUUUAUAAAGAGUCUGUAAAAAUAUCUUGGAGCUCCAAUUUUUCCGGCAGCUUAGAAUAAUGUACUCAGGCGCGCCUCGAAUAAUUUUUAUUUGCUCAAAUAAAUAUUAUUCUAUAUAAUAAUUAUUUUAUCACACAUGGCGCGCCCAACUUCCCAGGUCUCAAUUCCUUGGUCACGGAUUUUCCUGUAACAAAUGACAGUAGUCCAUUCCGAGACAAAGUUACAUGCCAUGUCACACAUUCAAAUCAUGUGCCACCAAAAUUAUUUGGCCCCGUCAGAUUGUGCUAUUAUUAUAUUUAUAAAACUAUUACUCCAUAAUACUCACACCUUGCCGUACCAAGUUUGUCAUGUGUGGUUCAUCAUCAUUUUUACUAGCGAUCCCCACUUAGCAUGUGACUUUGCCACAAAUAUGUUAGCGUUGGUAUUUCUUUAGGCCAACACAUUGUACUAGCACAUUCACUUGAUCAUGGGACGUCGACUCUUUAUUUCUUCUGUAUCUAGGCGCGCCCUUAAUCAUUUUAUUAAGAGUUAUCUUCUUCCUGUUUGAUAUGAGGCUUCAACACAUGAUGUAAAUUUGAGAAUUUCUUUUUUACUAACCUGACUCGUGUCACAGUCGCAAGCAAAAUAAGAUUGUGAGACCAGUUUCCACAUAACCAUCACAAAAGCAAGGGUCGCCCUCUUGCCACCUUUAAUUUGGUUGUUAUUUCUUUAACACGUCAAUCAUGCUAUACUCUCUUUUAAUCCAUCCAAAUACUCCCCAGUAUUUUUUAUAGAGAACUUUCUUAUAGAAUAAUAAAUUCGACCACCUUGCAUCAUGGUGUCCGGGCGCGUCCUCAAACGAUUUUUUUUUUACAUCGCACGAGCUCAGUUUUCUUUCUGUAAAAUGACCGGUACAUAUUUUACUUGCUCCCGGGGUGAGUAUUGACACAUGAUAUAUAUGCGCAGUGUAGAAGCAUGAAGGUGGCAUUAGUUUGUACUUAAAUAAAUGCACAUGCACAUUUCAAUAUUGCUUUGCCUUCUCUUUAUUUGCAUUUAAUAUGGGUCUCAUGAUGCAUUAAUAAAGCCAAUUGAAUAGGCUCAUGCAUGUUGUUUAGCUCAAGUACUUUUCAUCUCUAUUUUUCCAAGCAACGAGCAUUAACUAUGACACCAUAUUUAGUGAUUAUCAUCACUAGUUCACCUCCAUUAAUUACAUGUAACUUCUUCUAUCUCUUUGCCAUAUUAGACCCAACUUUCCCUUUUAAAAAUAAACUACAUACUCAGUGGCGCGCCUUGAGCAACUCAAGUUUACGGCAUGUCUUCUAUACCGUGGCCUUAUAAAUCUAGUGAAUAUGAUAUCAAUUAUUGGCCAGGUAUUUUCAUGCCACUAAUAUAUACAUUUUGCUCAGCAGAAAUUUUCCGACCUCAUAUUUUUAUAUGUGACCAACACGUAAAAAUAUAGCGUUUUGCUUUCUCUACGUGAACAAAUUUUUCUUUUUAAAAGAAAUGGCGCGCCUUCUCGGUCUUGUUAAGUAAGAAGGGUUUCUGUCUUCCGGCCGCUAAAUAAACAUGAUAUUCACCUGGCAGUAAUAUUAUAGGCGCGUCCUUUGAGCUAUAUACUUUUCUACAUUUUAGUAAUAAUAGUACCAGCUUUGUACACAUAUUUAACAUGUCGAAACUCAUCAGGAUCGAUGCAGCCAACUUUGGGCUUUUCCAGGGAAGUGCCCUCGGAAACUCAAAGUCUAAAGAGUGUCUUUUCUUUUUGAAAACAUGGCAAGGCGCGCCCUUGACCAAUACUUCAACACUCUGUUUUACUGCAUUUUUAGUAUCGGCCAGGUGCCCGAAUAUGAGGCCGGCGCACGACAUGAUAUGUUCAAAAACUAUGAACACCCUUCGUGUACAGACAAGACUUCUAUUUAGGUAUGUCUGAAUUCUGGAUAAGCAAAGGGCGCGACCUUUUUGUCAAAGACAAAAGGACGCAGGCUUACACAUCCUUCGAAAGAAAAAAGUUUGAUUUUUAGAUCUAUUUUUCACAAGUGAAUCAUGUCAAGAAAAGGGGAGCGCCUUUACAAAGGCCAUGGUUGUUCUCAACACAUAACUAUCCAUGCGCCUCAUUAUCAUUACAAUGUUCAUGAUGUUUUGGACAGGUAAACAAGGGUGCGCCCUAUCCAUUAUCAACAUAACAGCGUAGCCUUCUUGUAAUGUCACUUCUUUUUUAUCUUUUCCAAGAAUAAUGCAGGCAGAGGGCGCGGCCUAUGGUGCAACCUUACUUUUUCAUGCGUAAAUUACUCGCUUAUGUAAGAAGAGGACUACUCCCCAGUCUAUAAAUCAUCCCAUAUGGGGCAUCACGCAUCUUAUCGUGGUUUAAAUAGAUACGGUGCAUCGCACGGAUCUCAGAGCUCAUGGCUCAAUUAGGGAAUAAUACAAAGGGUUAUCCAGAGCAUAUCAUGGAUAUGUCACGUCCGGAGCGUAUCAUGGAUACGUGAAAAUUAAAGGGGGCACGACCUAUCAGGGGGUGGCGUGCCUUCUCCGGAAGUGUCAAGGGGUGCAUUCUUCAUGGCGGUAGUCCAACACCACAUUACCUGUAGUUUUAUAUACACCAUACACCUAGAGAAUGAAAUAAUGAGAAGGUUUAGAAUGAAGUUUUACCUGGGGGCGCGCCCUGUCAGGGGGAGGUGUACCCCGUCUGGGGGAGGCGUACCCUCUUCGGAGGUGUCAGGUCUCCGAGAAUCGCAUCCUUCGCUGACUCCCCGGUCCAGAAAACCUUGCUCGCAUAUUAGGUUACCUCCUAGAAUUUCGUUGAUGAUCAUCCUCCGCCGAACUCUUGGUGGAGAUUUCAUCGUUUUCUGGAGCUAUGAAUGAACGUCUCCUCUUCUCUUGUGCUCUAGCCAUCGCCCUGCCGGAAAACGCUCCUCCUCUAUGUGCGAAUCUCCGUCGUGUGACAUCUCUUCCUCCUAAGAUGAAGAUCUUGAAUAGCCCCUCCUUCUAGCGCCAAUUUGUUGAUAGAGGAAUUUGGUAAUCAACAAAGAUGAGGUUCAUAGCCGGAAUCAAGAUCUGUGACGGUGGUUUUAGCUGCCGGAGUGUGGUGGUUGUGUGUUUUAGAGGGUGGCUGAGAUUAGGGUUUUGAGUUGGUCUCACGUGCUCUCAACUCAUGAUCCCCCAAUGUGCCUACGUACCCCUAUUUACAGGGGAUCAAGCCAUACGUAGUUCUAUUGGACCAGGAGUCCUAGUUUGAUCAGGACUAGGCCUCUUGGCGAUAAGGUCGGAGAUAGGCCGAAGGCCCAUCUUGGAGAAUCCUACUCCUGUUAGAAUUAGUCUUGAGUAUGACUACCUCAGACUCCUAAUCCAAAUAGAUCACGGAUUCAACGAUAUCUCCACUACGAGAGAUAGCAUCUACCACGACUCUUAUGGAGAAGUUAUCUGGGGGAGCCAUGACUAACCCCUCGAGGUGCAGGGACACGUCCUCACCUCUCGGUGAGGUCUUC
RNAcentral lists this long non-coding RNA (5225 nucleotides) under Daucus carota (carrot). RNAcentral's name for it is "long non-coding RNA (DCAR_LNC002438)". The record is from RNAcentral. Lineage: Eukaryota; Viridiplantae; Streptophyta; Magnoliopsida; Apiales; Apiaceae.